GAAAAGCUGAUUUCAGGAAUGUUAGGUUUCUGGCAAACUUUAUAACUGAUGCCGGGAUCAUUAUCAAGAGGAGCAAGACAGGUAUUAGUGCCAAGGCACAGAGGAAAGUUGCGCGCGAGAUCAAAACUGCACGAGCAUUUGGCUUAAUGCCCUUCACAACAAUGGGAACAAAAUCAUUUAUUUUUGGCAGAACCAUGGAAAAUCUUGAUAAGGACU
This 216-nucleotide unclassified non-coding RNA is filed under the name Hevea brasiliensis (rubber tree). Lineage: Eukaryota; Viridiplantae; Streptophyta; Magnoliopsida; Malpighiales; Euphorbiaceae. The record is from RNAcentral.